GCUCCAGUGGACUUCAGCUGGUUAGAGCAUGGUGCUGAUAACACCAAGGUUGCAGGUUCGAUCCCCACAUGGGACU
This is a non-coding RNA of Podarcis lilfordi (Lilford's wall lizard), 76 nucleotides long. The record is from the annotation of a GenBank genome assembly. NCBI's taxonomy places the organism in Eukaryota, Metazoa, Chordata, Lepidosauria, Squamata, Lacertidae.